AUUGGGUUGGCUAAAAAGUUCAUUUGUUUUUUUCCAUAAGAUGGUGCAGAAAAACCCAAAUGAACUUUAUGGCCAAUUCAAU
This 82-nucleotide microRNA precursor is filed under the name Ovis aries (sheep). Its description in RNAcentral is "miRNA (ENSOARG00000025141.1)". Lineage: Eukaryota; Metazoa; Chordata; Mammalia; Artiodactyla; Bovidae. The record is from RNAcentral.